AUUGAUCGCUGGCGGCAGGCCUAACACAUGCAAGUCGAGCGGAUGAAGGGAGCUUGCUCCUGGAUUCAGCGGCGGACGGGUGAGUAAUGCCUAGGAAUCUGCCUGGUCGUGGGGGAUAACGUCCGGAAACGGGCGCUAAUACCGCAUACGUCCUGAGGGAGAAAGUGGGGGAUCUUCGGACCUCACGCUAUCAGAUGAGCCUAGGUCGGAUUAGCUAGUUGGUGGGGUAAAGGCCUACCAAGGCGACGAUCCGUAACUGGUCUGAGAGGAUGAUCAGUCACACUGGAACUGAGACACGGUCCAGACUCCUACGGGAGGCAGCAGUGGGGAAUAUUGGACAAUGGGCGAAAGCCUGAUCCAGCCAUGCCGCGUGUGUGAAGAAGGUCUUCGGAUUGUAAAGCACUUUAAGUUGGGAGGAAGGGCAGUAAGUUAAUACCUUGCUGUUUUGACGUUACCAACAGAAUAAGCACCGGCUAACUUCGUG
RNAcentral lists this ribosomal RNA (484 nucleotides) under uncultured bacterium. RNAcentral's name for it is "partial 16S ribosomal RNA". It matches the Rfam family "Bacterial small subunit ribosomal RNA", at positions 30 to 507 of the family's 1533-position model. The record is from RNAcentral.